GACGAACGCUGGCGGCGUGCCUAACACAUGCAAGUCGAACGGAGUACCUUCGGGUACUUAGUGGCGAACGGGUGAGUAACGCGUGAGUAACCUGCCUUUCAGUGGGGGACAACAGUUGGAAACGACUGCUAAUACCGCAUAAUGUCAUUUAGGGGCAUCCCUGAGUGACCAAAGCUUUAUGUGCUGAAAGAUGGACUCGCGUCUGAUUAGCUAGAUGGCGGGGUAACGCCCACCAUGGCAACGAUCAGUAGCCGGACUGAGAGGUUGAACGGCCACAUUGGACUGAGAUACGGCCCAG
This 298-nucleotide ribosomal RNA is filed under the name uncultured bacterium. RNAcentral describes it as "partial 16S ribosomal RNA". It matches the Rfam family "Bacterial small subunit ribosomal RNA", at positions 28 to 334 of the family's 1533-position model. The record is from RNAcentral.